RNAcentral lists this long non-coding RNA (2061 nucleotides) under Lupinus angustifolius (narrow-leaved blue lupine). RNAcentral's name for it is "long non-coding RNA (LANG_LNC001134)". The record is from RNAcentral. Lineage: Eukaryota; Viridiplantae; Streptophyta; Magnoliopsida; Fabales; Fabaceae.
CACGUGUAAAAAUCAAAAAGAAGAAAUUGAGGGGUGUUAACCCUUUUGCCCAUUUCACGCAGAACAAGUUGGGAAGGGAAAAAUUGAAAUCCCUAAUCCCCAACUCCUUCUUCUUUCUAGCUCCAUCUCCGGCGGUGGUGACGGGUUGUGCCUUGCCGGUGGCUUCGCUUCGAGCUUCUGUCUCGUUCUUCGAAUCUCUUGGUGGUUCACGGUGGAGGCGAGACGGAACCAGUGGUAGCGCGGUGAUGCCUCCUUGUGAGUUCUUCUUUUCCAUCUCUCUCGCAGUAAGGGGAAUUGAAAUCCCCCAACUCCGUUUUUAUCCUCUUCAAUGCCAGCUUCAAAUUGAUGGAGGAAGACAAUAAUGUCAAUCCUCCAAGGCUUUCUCGGCUAAGACCUGGUCUCAAAACCAUCACCCCGAAUUUGGAUCGGGUGGUUCACGACGGCUCAGCCUCCCUCCGAUGGGUUAUGGUGGUUCCGAAUCGGGUAAUCAUUGCUUUAUUAUUUUUUUGUCAAUUUCCUACUUUCUAUUGAUUCUCGGUUCCUAUUUUUAUGAACUCAUGCACUUUCUAUUGGCCUUUACAGAGUGAUGAUCCGGGGUCAUUCACGGCUGAGCCGAAACUGAUUAAACAGUACCGAGGACAUACACCAUAUCGACUAAGCCGAAAUGUAAUCUGGAUUUGGUAUGGUCAUCUAUUGGUACUAGGUUGAUGCAGAAUUCGUUCUCAUACUAUAAUUACCAUAUCAUUUUAUUUAUACUCUCUAUACUCCAGUUUUGAAUAUAAACCGAACCCCUAAUCUUGUGACAUGAGCAUUUGAAGGUGUGACAGUAUAUCUCUCUUGAUACAUAUUGAUUGAAAUGCAUUUCUCAUUUGUAAGUAUUUGAGGAAAAAAGGGAAAAUGAGUGACUUACCUGAGCCAUGCCUCUUCCUUCCUAUUCCUUCUGAGUGUUGUUCUCUGCUAUGAUGUAUGAUGUCCUAUGUUUUGUUGCAAUCUCUUUUCUGCCUGUUUCUGGAUGUCUUAUUGCAAUAUCUCUUGGUUGAUUUCUCUUGUGUUUAUGUAUGCUAUGUUAUGAAUAUGUGCUUUGAGUGCUUUUGCCUUUCUCCUGAAUAUUCUCUCUGAUUUCAGUAUCGUGUUUUUUCUUAGCGUAUGUAUGUGAUAUGGUUAUUCAAGUGUUUUCCUUGUUCUCUCUGAUUGUUCUCCGUUGGUUUAUAUGAUGCUUAUGGUAGAUAGCUUAUGAAUAUUUUUGGUAGGACCUCUCUAACUGUAUAUGAUAGCUUGUACUCCCCCUUUUACCACCGUUUCAAUCUGCUUGGUGCUUGUCCCUUUUAUACUGAUUGAGGGUUCAUGGAAACCUCUUGAGUUGCCAAUUGAAAUCCAACGUAGGAUUACCCUUUUGUUUUCUGACUAUUCUAUUUUGAUUACUCCACUUCAAUGCUGCCUAUUAUUCCUGCCAAUUAUGUCUGAUUUGUAACUGAAAAGGUGAGGUUUUCAGAUUUGCCUCUUUUAAAUUUCCAUGGUUUAGUGAGGCCUUAAAGCUGCCCCUGACUGUUGAUAGGGAUUUGUAACUGAAGGACCUAUGAUUUCUGCAUUGCCUUUGCUCUUUAUGGCUUGUUUAUGAUUUGAUUGAUAACCCAUGGAUAUCCCUUCCUGGUUCGGAACUAAAAUUGGCCGUUUCAAUAUUACUACAUCUAUGCCCCAAUAUGUAAUUGUCUAAAAAACUUACCCUUUGAUCUCUUUCUGCAGGAAUGACUAUCAGAGACAUCAUCAACACUUUUUUAGGUGAAUAUCAUAUUCAAUAAAUCAUCAGUCAACAAGCAGGAUGUUACAUAAGAUGAUAAGAGGGACAAAUAAUUAGUUUUAUCACUGAAAACAAACUGAGUAUAUAGGCAAAUAGGUUAGAUUUGUUCAGUUACAUAUAUAGGUGAGAUUUAAAUCACAUACAUUGAACCAAUUGGCAAGUAAUAAUCCUUUUGUAUAAUAUACAAGCCACUGAGGCAGAUAAUGUUUAUGAACGUCUAAGUACUAUUCAAUGUGAUCUAAUAUAAUUAACAGAAUUGGCAC